AACCCAGGACUGUUCAGCAGAGGUUUCCAUGAUAAGUGGUGUCUGUUUUCUCUUAUUCUUUUUUUGUUCUUUUUUUUUUUUUGUUUUGUUUUUUAAUUUGUCAGU
Long non-coding RNA from Salarias fasciatus (jewelled blenny), 105 nucleotides. RefSeq lists it as uncharacterized. The transcript is spliced from 3 exons. NCBI's taxonomy places the organism in Eukaryota, Metazoa, Chordata, Actinopteri, Blenniiformes, Blenniidae. The record is from RefSeq and is a predicted model, not a curated record.